This 755-nucleotide ribosomal RNA is filed under the name uncultured archaeon. Its description in RNAcentral is "bacterial SSU rRNA". It matches the Rfam family "Archaeal small subunit ribosomal RNA", at positions 102 to 857 of the family's 1478-position model. The record is from RNAcentral.
GGAUAACCUACCCUUAGGACCGGGAUAACCUUGGGAAACUGAGGACAAUACUGGAUAGGCAAUUUUUCCUGUAAUGGUUUUUUGUUUAAAUGUUUUUUCGCCUAAGGAUGGGUCUGCGGCCGAUUAGGUAGUUGGUUAGGUAAUGGCUUACCAAGCCGUUGAUCGGUACGGGUUGUGAGAGCAAGAGCCCGGAGAUGGAACCUGAGACAAGGUUCCAGGCCCUACGGGGUGCAGCAGGCGCGAAACCUCCGCAAUGUGAGAAAUCGCGACGGGGGGAUCCCAAGUGCCAUUCUUAACGGGAUGGCUUUUCAUUAGUGUAAAAAGCUUUUGGAAUAAGAGCUGGGCAAGACCGGUGCCAGCCGCCGCGGUAACACCGGCAGCUCUAGUGGUAGCAAUUUUUAUUGGGCCUAAAGCGUCCGUAGCCGGUUUAAUAAGUCUCUGGUGAAAUCCUGUAGCUUAACUGUGGGAAUUGCUGGAGAUACUAUUAGACUUGAGACCGGGAGAGGUUAGAGGUACUCCCAGGGUAGAGGUGAAAUUCUGUAAUCCUGGGAGGACCGCCUGUUGCGAAGGCGUCUAACUGGAACGGUUCUGACGGUGAGGGACGAAAGUUAGGGGCGCGAACCGGAUUAGAUACCCGGGUAGUCCUAACUGUAAACGAUGCGGACUUGGUGUUGGGGUGGCUUUGAGCUGCUCCAGUGCCGAAGGGAAGCUGUUAAGUCCGCCGCCUGGGAAGUACGGUCGCAAGACUGAAACUU